Long non-coding RNA from Podarcis raffonei (Aeolian wall lizard), 2056 nucleotides. RefSeq lists it as uncharacterized. The transcript has 5 exons. Lineage: Eukaryota; Metazoa; Chordata; Lepidosauria; Squamata; Lacertidae. The record is from RefSeq and is a predicted model, not a curated record.
CUCCUCUACAUUUCUUUGUGUUCAUUCAUUAAUUCAUCAUCAGCUUUAAGUCCAUUUCGUUAAUGCAGGCAUUCAAAUGACACAAGAGAACUCAUUUGAGAGUCUCAAGCUUCUCCACAGCCUUGCUCUGUGGCACUGCUACCAGAUGCACCCCCCAAGCAUGGCACAGCUAAGAAGAGCCCCGCUGAAUCAGGCCAGCCCAUCCAGCAACCACUUUCACACAGCGGCUAGCAAGUGAGCCUUAAGUUUCAGUGAAUCGCUGCUGAACCUGGAUCAAUGGAAGCUGCAGUGCUAAUCGAUGUCUCAAAGCAAAUACCUUUUUGAAGCAGAACAAUUCCACGCAAGCCUUGUUUACUACUCCCAAGAAGGUUAAUCAUUCUGCAGGGAUUCAGCUCAUCAAUCCCCCUUCUGAAGCAAACUGACCCCUGGAGACAUCAGCAAAGCACUCACUGAAAUAAAUCUCUGCAAUCCCUGAGCCUGAUUCUGUCCUCCUCACUUACCCAGUGAUCCUAAAUACAUCUGAUGGAAGGCCGUCUCAUUGAUUCCAAUGGAUUUUUACCUCCAAGUAAUAGACAAUUUUGUCUACCUGGGCUCCACCAUAACCAGCAACCUCUCCAUCAACACUGAACUGGACAAGAGUAUUGGUAUGGCAGCUACAGCAAUGGCUCGCCUCUCCAGAAGGGAAAUGGUACACCCUCAGGACCUGAGAGGUUGAAUGUGAAAUCUUGUGCUGUUGGUAUUGGGUCCAUCUCCUCCUCAGAGUUACGACAGAUCAGCUAGAUUCAACUAAACAGUGGAACAAGAAGGAGCCAGCAUGGACUUCACAAGUGCAACAGGGGCGCCCACAACUCCUCCCUCCCACACCUACCCAAAUAGGCUCUAUGUGGUUGGAAGAACCUCCAGAAUUGCUUGCAGAAGGAGACUGUUCUGUCCUUGAAGCAGAAAUGCUUGUGUUGAUGGAACAAUCAUAGUGGUGCAAUGUUGAAUGCCUUCCUUAGAGACUGAAAGCUUGUGACACAUAGAUCCCUUCUCAUACAAGCAUUAGUGCAGGUAGAUGCUCGCACUUUCUCUGAAAUCUUGUCAUGUAUAUAUGCCAGCCCACAUACCACGGCCAAGAGCAAUUGAGCUCUCAUGUGCAUAUACAUAGUUGGUUCAAUCUGCCUAGUUGGAUAAUCAGUGGAUUGUACCUUGGCUUCUGCCAAUAGACUAAAUAAAGUCUAAGAGUUCAAUAUGAAAUUCAAAUGCUUGCUUUUAGGCUACCUUCCUGCCUCGAAUUAAAACCUUUCCACGUCAUGUUGCAUAAUGUAGCCUGUGUUUUUCAGAAUAUUAAGUAUCGCAGUUGCCUAAUCAUACCAGAUUAAUGAAGUUACCAAGAUUCAUUUAGAAAGCAAUGGAGAAUGUCUAAUUUUAAUUAGGAGUUUUGAUUACUGAGGUUAAUGGAACCUCCCCCCACCCCUGCAAAAAAACAUUUGUUUUCAGAAGUAUAUAUUUACUAUAAUGAAAUCACAGUAUCUAGAUAUUAUCCCAGUUUGUGCUUAACAAGAGCACAGCAAAAUGAAGAUGAAAAGAGGCACCACGAUCCUAUAAGGGGAUGGAGAUAAUCCACAGCAGAGCAACCACCACGUCUAUUGCCCUUCCAGCUUGACAUAACAGAAAGUGGAGUGGUGGCUUCUAUCCCCCAACCCGUUUUUUUCCUCUCUCUUCCAUUGACUAUAGUGAGACAGAAUUUACUAUUCGAGCUCCAGGGCUGGAAUAGCUCUGAGUCCAUGAGGUGGGUGUGUUAAGGAAAGCAAAGUGACCCGGGCAGGGUCACUAUCAUGCCAUGGACAAGUUAGGAAACAUUAUGGAGAAAACAGUGGACGCUAAGCAGUAAUUCUGCAUUAUUGUAUAUCAUGCAUAUAGAUUGCUAAUGAGGGAUCAGUUAGCUCCCUAGAGUUUCUGUGAGCAUAUUGGGCUUUAGAUGCUGGAUUUACCUAUUGAUUUUCUAUUUUGUUUCUAUGUUUUAUAUUUGUUCUCUGUGUUAUUAAACCUAAUAAAAUACAUAUCUGAAAAUGAA